This is a long non-coding RNA of Mustela erminea (ermine), 1490 nucleotides long. RefSeq lists it as uncharacterized. NCBI's taxonomy places the organism in Eukaryota, Metazoa, Chordata, Mammalia, Carnivora, Mustelidae. The record is from RefSeq and is a predicted model, not a curated record. The transcript has 3 exons.
UUAGCACCCAAAGAGCGAGGGUGGGGCUGCCUCAGUCAAGCAACCGAUUGCAAAACAAGCGGAGUUCUUUCGCAUCCUGAUCUCGUGGGAUUAACAUCUUUCUGUGAAUCAGAUCUUGUUCAUCUUUGUGUUUAAAAAUGCUUUGUUGGAAGCCCAGAGAGACCAAAUGCCCUCCCAGAUUAAUGGGAAGAAGUGAAAUGAAGUGCAGGCUCAGGCCACAUAGAAACUCUCUAUUAAUCUACCCCCAAUGACCUAGAUAUGGCAGUCAACAUCAAUACAGUGAAGAAUCUUGUGUUAUAAACAUCUUUAUAAGGAGCUUUUGUCAAGUGCCUGCUUUCUUGGAGCACCAGAUUAAGAUACAAGAAGAUGGCCACGAGCAAACCAUGAAGAGGGCUGUCCCCAGACACCAGAUCUGCUGGUGCCUUCAUCUUGGACUUCCCAGUUUUCAGAACUGUGAGAAAUUAAUGUUUGUUGUGUGAGCCACCCAGUUCAUGUUUUUGUUAUAGCAGCCCAACCCUGACCAGAACAUCCCCCAGUUGGACUUUAGUUCCCGCAUGUCACCCAGCUGUGUGUCAACAUUAACAAUGACUUUCAUGUUGCCAAAUCCAAUGAUUGAUUCUUAGCAUCUUAAACAACAUUUAUCACCAUUCAUUUAUCACUCUCUCGGAAAUACUUUUUUCACCUAGCUUCCAUAAAAGCUUUCCUUCCUGCUUUGCCUCCUAAUAGAGGCUAAUUCACUUGAAGCCAAAAAAGCCUAAGCUUCAGGGCUCCUCAGUUGUAGUCCUUUCUAGGACAGCAUUUCUCUUCUAGCACCCCUGCAGCAGUAUGGAACAUAGUUCUCAUAUCGGAAAAUGAUUCUGGUAGUGGUUCCAGGGCUUAGAGUGGGGCCAGUGGGCUGCCAGCACUACCUCCACUUCACCUGGACUCUAGCAAGAUUUAGAUCCAUAAUAGAUCUCAAGGACUGUGGAAUCUACCUUCUAUUCCAAGAAGAAGAUCUGAAGGAGACACUGUUCUUCUCUGCUCCUUGCACGGGGUUACCUUCAUGGCCACCUUCCAUUGUCCCUAGGACCAGCCUAUCAGUUCGGAGGUAGCAAGAACUGAUGGCCAUUUGGUCCAGGCUGAGUGGGACCAGCUGCUUCCUGGGCCAUUGGGAGCCAUGGGGUCCCACACCACAACUAGUGAGAGAAAACACCUCAGUUCUCUGAGGUCUUUCUCCUGGGCGAGACACACUGCCAGAGGAAGAAACCACAGAGGAAGUUACAGAUGGGGUCUUACCACAGAGAGCUAUGAGACUGAAUAAACUUUUUCUAAAAAUUAUCAAUAAUAAAAUUACUUUUGAGCAACCAUGCUGGAGGAAAGACUAAAUUAUCUAUUCUCUCUAUAGAAAAUUGUAUUUCAAAUUCACCCUCAUAGAGAGGUGGUCGAAGAAUAUGCAGCCAAAAUGUAGGAAAAUAUUGUAUCAGAUAAGUAAUAGGAAUAAUAAAAAUAAG